AUGGCGUCCUCCUCGUCCCAUCGCAGGGCCGGCGCUCCGCUCCUCCUGCUGCUCUUCUGCUGCAUUUCCACGGUGGUCACCGCGCAGUCCCAGUCGCAGCCGCAGACGACGCUGCAGUCCUCGCAGGCCAAGGCGCUCUACCGCGUGUGCCGCCUCCUGGGCUUCCCGCCGGCGCUGGCCGCGCUCGUCAAGUCCCCCGACCCCUGCGCGCUGCGGCCCACGCCGUCGCUCGCCGUGGCCUGCUCGGCCGGCCAGGUCACGGCGCUCUCCGUGCGCGGCGACCACCGGCCCGACCCGGCGUGGCGCACCGCGCUGCCGUCCAACUUCUCCGCCGACGCGCUCUUCACCACGCUCACCCGCCUCCCGGCGCUCUCCAACCUCUCGCUCGUCGCGCUCGGCCUCUGGGGCCCGCUCCCGGGCGCCAAGCUGCUCCGCCUCGGCGCGCUGCAGGCGCUCGACCUCAGCGCCAACUACCUAUACGGCGGCGUGCCCGAGCAGGUGGCGCGCAUGUACUCGCUGCAGAGCCUCGUGCUGUCCGGGAACUGGCUCAACGGCACCGUGCCGUCCCUCUCCGGGCUCGCCUUCCUCCACGAGCUCGACCUGGGCCGGAACAGGCUCGACGGCGCGUUCCCGGAGGUGGGGAAGGCGGUGGCGAGCCUCGUCCUCGCCGACAACAACUUCACCGGGAAGAUCCCGGCGGAGGUGGCCUCUCUCGGCCAGCUCCGGUUCCUGGACGUGUCACGGAACCGGCUGGAGGGGUGGAUCCCCUCCGCCAUCUUCGCGCUCCCCGCGCUGCGGCACAUCAACCUGUCGCACAACAAGCUCUCCGGGCAGCUGCCGGCGAGCACGGCGUGCGCGGACGCGCUGGAGUUCGUCGACGUCUCCGCCAACCGGCUCAUCGGCGCGCGCCCGGCGUGCAUGCGGUCCAACUCGUCGGCGCGCACGGUGCUCGACGCGGGCAAUUGCUUCCGCGACGCGAAGCUGCAGCGGCCGAGCACCUACUGCAGCCCGGGGGCGCUCGCCGCCCUGCUGCCGCCGCCGCAGGGGAGCGGCGCCGAGCAGGGUGGGGGCAAAGGUGGCGGGGUGGGGAUGGUUCUUGGCAUUGUGGGCGGCGUCGUGGCAGGCGCGUUGCUUAUCGCGGUGGUGAUGGUGGUGGUGCUGAGGAGGGUGAGGAAGCAGCACCCCGGGGUGAUGGCCUCGCCCAAGUCGCCGUUGAUAACGCCGGCGAAGAAGGGGGGCGGUGCAGCGAAGGUGGCCCAGAAGAUUGCCACCCCUGCCGAUAAGAGGCACGCAUCCCAAGCCGCCAUGGUAAAUACGCUGGAAGUACCAGCGUAUCGCGUAUAUACCGCGGAGGAGCUCCAAGAAGCCACGGACAACUUUGCAUCCUCCAACUUGAUCAAGAAGAGCCCCCUUGCACAGCAUUACAACGGCCAGCUUCAAGAUGGCACAAGAGUUUUGGUGAAAUGUCUCAGACUAAAGCCAAAGUAUUCUGCUCAGAGCCUGUCCCAUUACAUGGAGAUAAUUUCUAAGUUCCGCCACCGCCACUUGGUUAGCAUCAUUGGCCAUUGCAUUGUCAAUGACCAGGAAAAUCCUACUGUUGCUAGCUCGGUAUACCUCGUUUCUGAAUGCGUAACAAAUGGAUCUCUAAGAAGCCACCUUACCGAGUGGAGGAAGCGCGAAAUGCUGAAAUGGCCGCAGCGGGUUACUGCUGCCAUUGGUAUCGCGAGAGGGAUCCAGUUCUUGCACAAUGUGACUGCCCCAGAAAUUGUACAGAAUGAUCUCAACAUUGAAACUAUUCUGCUGGACAAGACCCUCACGUCGAAAAUUAGUGACUUCAGUCUCCCCAUGAUAUCAACCAGCAAGAAUGGCAAGCUAUUCUCUGAAAACCCUUUCGCUGUCGACGGGGAAAACGACCAUGGCAGCGCUCAACCUGCAGAACAUGGGGACAGGGAUGACAUAUACCAGUUCGGCCAAAUCCUUCUCGAGGUGAUCACAGGCAAACCAACGGCGUCGCAAAGCGAGCUGGAAUCCCUCAGAGCUCAGCUGAGCGAGGCCCUGGCCGAAGACCCGGACAUGCUGAAAGACAUGGCCGACCCGACGAUCCGCGGCACGUUCGCGGUGGACUCCCUGAGCAAGGUGACUGAGGUGGCCCUCAACUGCACGGCCGGUGACCCGAGCGAGCGGCCUUCCGUCGACGACGUGCUCUGGAACCUGCAGUACUCCAUGCAGGUGCAGGACGGGUGGGCGAGCAGCGAGAGCUUGAGCUUGAGCGUCAAAUCACAGGCGCAGUGA
Molecule: ribosomal RNA, 2292 nt
Filed under: Triticum aestivum (bread wheat)
Lineage: Eukaryota; Viridiplantae; Streptophyta; Magnoliopsida; Poales; Poaceae
Description: partial small subunit ribosomal RNA
Source: RNAcentral